UUUGCGGGAAGUGCAAUGCCGUCUUCAGUGGCUGUCAACGGUCCUGUUCUGCUUCAUAUCAGGCAACUAUAGUAUAGAUUCACACGGGUUUUUGAACAAUUUUGACUUCUUUCUAUUAACCCAGAUAUAAUUACAAAUCCGCGAGAGCAAAUUCUCAACUCUAUUUGCAUGCUUAAAAUACUUUGAUUAGAUUAAAUGACUUUGCCAAGGCUCAGAGAAAGCAUCUUAGCUUAUUCUCAAACUAUGGAAUUUUUCGCAAUUCAACAGGCAGUAUAUCUAAACCUAUUGUAGUCGGAAUUUUCCGAUGUUUGAUUGAGAUGAUCCAAUUGCCUAUCACAGACGUUGAUACAACAGGUUACAUAUUUUCAUCAAAAUUAUCCUUAUAUAUUCUCACUGUCAGCGCCUGCAGAUAAUUGUAAUUAUUAUAAUUAUUUAUUAGGGUUAUCUUUGAAAAACACAAUCUGGUUUUCAGCGAUCGCUCCAUGCGAUAGUUAAAUUGGCGCAUUGUACAUAUGUGAGAAAGACAAAGCUAAAAUCACAUUUUAUUUUAUCUUCAAAAAUUAUCAUUGGUUUCACUGAUGCAGUGCAAAAAAAAAAAUCAAAAUCUGACAGACAACAUUUUAUCGACCUAAAAGAGUUCAAGAAAUUCACAGGAGCAAAAUUUUGUGCACUUUCAAAAGCUUCAUAAGCUCCUUUUUUUAAUUUGUUUAGUUGGCUGAUACAGCUAUUUUAUUCAAUAUUGCGCAUCGAUUUACCUCUAAUCAGCAUUUAGAUGGCGAAAAUUACGACCUUUAUCUGCCUUUGUUACUCGCGCUAGGUUGAAAAAGUCAAUGGAAAACUAAGAUUUAGAAAGGAGCGCAAUAUGUCAUCUUACAAUUGCAAUUUUUCAAAACAGACACUCACAUUGUAUUGAAUUCUAAGGAUUUGUAUCCUGUGCUAUUGACGUCUGUGAUUUCUUACAACAUAGGUGCAAAAGAUGCGGAUUGCAUUGAGAGGAAUAUAUUCAGAUAUACUUACUGCUGACUUGCGAACAAUUCCAUCAGUUUGUGAAUUUUCUAAGAAAUUCGUAUCUUUGGGCUGUAAAUAAGCAUGUUCACUUGUAGUUAUUCAGUAAGCAUCAAAAGAGUAAAUUUGUUUCCGCGAACCUGUCGUUAUUUCUGUGUGAGCUUUCAGAGAGAACAAAAAUUGAUCUAAACCCCUGAGUUUUUCCUAUAAGUAUAAUGAAGCACGCAGAGCAAGACCGAUGACAACCAUUGACUGCGGCAUUGACCUCCUAAAAAUAAUGUUGCUUUAUAAAUCCUUAUUAAUGUUAAAGUCUACUUAAUUGAACACACCCUCCAUGGGGACAAUCUUUCUUCUCGAAUUAUCUCCUUUGAAAGAAUAAAUCCGAGAGUUUUUAACAGAGGUAGUCUUACCCAAGAAAAACUCUACUGGCAAGCAUCCUACACCACGUUGAUGCCCUUUAUUGUAGAAGAUGUGUUGGAAACAACUUUAAUUCUUCGGGUAGAAGAGGCUCAAGAAUUACUUUUAUCGUAUUCUGCCAUCUUUGCACCAUAAAUUUCCUUCGCUGUCAAAAUUCUUGUUUCGCUAACUUCUCUAAUGAAUUAUAAAAAAUAUGUAAAUUGAAUUUUCCCGGCUACGAAGCGAGGAAAUAAAGCACAUUGACCCACCA
Long non-coding RNA from Cloeon dipterum, 1672 nucleotides. RefSeq lists it as uncharacterized. The record is from RefSeq and is a predicted model, not a curated record. Lineage: Eukaryota; Metazoa; Arthropoda; Insecta; Ephemeroptera; Baetidae. The transcript is spliced from 3 exons.